This is a long non-coding RNA of Humulus lupulus (European hop), 792 nucleotides long. RefSeq lists it as uncharacterized. The record is from RefSeq and is a predicted model, not a curated record. Lineage: Eukaryota; Viridiplantae; Streptophyta; Magnoliopsida; Rosales; Cannabaceae. The transcript is spliced from 2 exons.
UUCUAAAAAAAUUAUUAAUUAAUAAUUAAAAAUAAAAUUUUAUUAAUUAAUCAAAUAAAAAAUUUAAAUUACAAAGAAAAAAAAGACCUAAAACCCCUAUCUCUUUCUCUCGGAUUCCCUCUCCCCCCUCUCUCUUUUUCUGAAGCUUUCUCUCUCUCUCUCUCUCAUGCCUCACCUCUACCAAGAACAAUGGACGUCGUACCAGUCUUCGAUGGUGACACGCACUGCACAAGCGGCAUUCCAAGCAUCCAAAACCCCCAGCCUCCCUAGCUCUCCUCCACACUCGUCGUUCGCUGCCACAACAAUCCAGACGAUGGUCGACCGUCACCAUGGGUUCCUAGGAGUUCCUCGGCGUCUGGUGACCUUCGAAUGUGGAUCUAUCUACAUGUUUUGACUCAGCACACAAUACGGAACAAAACCCGCAUGGAGAUCGGACCCAAAAGUCGCCAGUGGUGCUCGUCAGUGUCACUAAGUUUUGUGGCUUUUGGGACACGUUCCAACCGCCACUGUAAAGGAAACUAGAAUGUUCGUGGUGAUAUUGAUGAGGAUGAGUUUUUGCAAAGGGAAGAAGAAGUUGCUUGAAGGAUCCAUCAUCACGUCAAGUUAUGAUAUUAUGGGGUUCCAUUGUUAACACAAGUAAUUAUUAUUAGAUCUCGUAGUUUUGUAUUAUAAAUGUGAUACGAUUGAUUAUUUAUAUUUGUUCCAAAAUUUAUUUUUUUUAAUUUGUAACUAUAUCAUUGAAUGUACUAGUUUUGUUAUUUUAAUCUAUAAAUUUUUGGAUUUGUAUAUAAA